This 77-nucleotide transfer RNA is filed under the name Magnetococcales bacterium. Its description in RNAcentral is "tRNA-Met". It matches the Rfam family "tRNA". Rfam says of the family: Transfer RNA (tRNA) molecules are approximately 80 nucleotides in length. Their secondary structure includes four short double-helical elements and three loops (D, anti-codon, and T loops). Further hydrogen bonds mediate the characteristic L-shaped molecular structure. tRNAs have two regions of fundamental functional importance: the anti-codon, which is responsible for specific mRNA codon recognition, and the 3' end, to which the tRNAs corresponding amino acid is attached (by aminoacyl-tRNA synthetases). tRNAs cope with the degeneracy of the genetic code in two manners: having more than one tRNA (with a specific anti-codon) for a particular amino acid; and 'wobble' base-pairing, i.e. permitting non-standard base-pairing at the 3rd anti-codon position. The record is from RNAcentral. Lineage: Bacteria; Pseudomonadati; Pseudomonadota; Magnetococcia; Magnetococcales.
CGCGGGGUGGAGCAGCUCGGUAGCUCGUCGGGCUCAUAACCCGAAGGUCGGGGGUUCAAAUCCCUCUCCCGCAACCA